UGGGAACCCAAAAUGCGGGGGGGGGGGCUCAGGUCGGGGCCGCUUUUCGGGCCCGGAGUUGGACGGAGCCUUCGGCGGCUGCUGCUUCCCGCCAGGAAUGUUCUCGGGGCUCCCUGGGCAGAACCAGCUGGGCAGGGAACGCGGGCCGGGAGGAGGCCGGAGCGACAGAGAGUGACCCAGCCCUGCUUGGGCUUCCUAUUGCCGGGGGAUGGAGGAGCUGUGCCCUGGAGCUGUGCCCUACAGCCCCCGUGGGGUGGGCACGGGGAAAGGGCUGCCCGCGGCUCCUCAGCCGCACGUGCAUCCCUUUGCUCGGGGAAAAGAACUCCCCGGGGCCGCUCCCGAGGCUCCCAAGGGACAGCGGCUUCCCGGCCGGAGAGACGUCCUCGCCCGUGCUCAGGGGCUGCCUCGCCCCGGGCCGGGAGCGCGUCCGGCCCCCGCCUUCUCCUGGGCCAACCCAUCCCCUGGAGCCCGGCCCGGGGCGGAGAAUCGGCCCAAUUCCAGGGAACUCGCUCAAGUCCCCCCAGGGACACCGGCGGGGCCGGGGCAGGAGGGUUACAAACAGCAAAGUCUGUGCAACAUCAACCUGUCCUUGUCCCGAUCCCGCUGAGCAAACCUGGAACCGUGGCUGCUUCCUGGCAAACCUGGUGUUAAAGCGGCAGCUCUGCAGGGGAGUAUCUGAGCUCCAGGAGACACUGGGAGGUUAUUCCAGCAGGAAUUCAGCAUGGAAUUGCGGGCUGUAGGUAGAAGUCAUCUAAACCUGCAAAGCUGAGACCGGAACCCAAACCUGGGCCCCCCGCAGAGAACAAUCUUUGUGCUGCUGUGUUGGCCAAAGCUGCUGCACUGAGAGAUCUUGGCAGCCUGAGGGAGGGCAUUCUCUAUGUCCCAGAAACCAGCAUCUCCCAAGGGGACAAUCCAAGUCCCAAAAGAUUCCUUUGGCCUUUCCACAGGGACUCUGACCCUUAUUUGGUCCUGCUCUCCCACGGUUCAUUUUGGGGGAUUGGUUUGUGCUGGUUUACGUUCCACGACUCCACCCACAGCUGGAGGUUUGGGGCUGUGCUUCUCUACUCCCAGCAGGUUCCCUAAGGAGCCAGAUACUCCAACAAUCCCCUGGUUUGACUUUCUAGGUGAAUUGUACACAAGCCAGUCCCCCAUUCCCUAUCCAGGCUGGGAGUGCUCGUGCCCUUGGCACAGUUGGCUCUGGCUGGGCAGGAACUGAGAGCAGGACACGGGGCAGAGCGGAUCAGCUGCCCAGGGAACCUCCAGGAGAUGAAGCUAUGGGAUCCUCAUUCCAAUCAAGGGAACACGUUCUGUCUCUGGCAGAAGCCGGGAGCCAAAGCAGAUCCCGCCUGGCCAGGCUGGGGGGCAGCAGUUGGAUCCACUCUGGGGGAAAGCCCCUGUGCCUGCCAGGAGCUCUGACUCUGUUUGUCCUGCCAGCUCCUGACCAGUGUCAGGGCCCCUGGGAGGGAUUCAGAAUCCAAAGAAACCCCAAAUCCUACCGAGGGACUCAUCCAAAGGAAGAAAGCCAUUCUUGUCAUAAAAAGCUUAAAAAGCUGUUAAAAGUUCUAGGACAGCAAUACUGGGAUUCCCAGGAAACUUAGUAGUGUCUCGGUUCCAUUUCAAUGUAUCUUUAGUCCCUCAAUGAGCAGCUUGGAGAACUUCCCCUGGGAUUUGGAGGCUGAGCAGGGUUUGCUUUGGAUUGCCUGGCACCUCUGGCCCCAGCUGGUGCAAACACAACUUGGGCCAAUGGUCAGUGCCCAGUGUGUCCCUGUGGGCAGUGCCAGGCUGGGGACAGGCACACGCAGCUGGCAGCACUCUCUGCCCCAAACAGCCUCGGGGGGCAGCGCAGCCCCCCCAAGGGGGGGAUCGAGGGGGGCUGGAGGCGGCCCAGGAAAGGCCCCCCCGCUCCCCCCGGGGCAGCUCCACAGCCCCCCUGCCCUCUCUGCCACGGGGGCCCCGCUGCUCCCCCGGCUGGCACAGAGCCCCCUGCCCAUGGCUGGCAAAUCAGGGCCAGGGCUCGGCCUCGCUGCAGCCGCCCCACACGGGAGCAACUCAGGGCUCAGCCCAACAUUUCCCUGCUUGGCCACUGCAGAGACCCUCAGGUCACCUCAACACCUUCCUUCUCUUCCCAGCAGGUUUCCCCAGCUGGGAGCUGCAAGGAAUUCAGGCCAGGGAAUGGACAGCAGGGAACAGCUGUACAUGCAAAGGCAGAAAGAGAAGGUCUGUCAGCAAAAGGCACAAAGAAGGGGACAGGCUUCAGAAAACAUUUCUGCAAUCUAAUGAAGAACUCUUUCCAGUUUCCCAGGGAGAAGAACAGGAACUCACAGCCACCAAGGCCUGACAGUCCCCUGCAGCCAGAGCUCAGCACACAGCCAGAGAGGCAAUUCCAGCAUCUAAAAGGAAAAAAAAGAACAAAAAAAGUGAUUUAUUUUGGUUUAAAGUUACUUUAAGUUGUUCCAAGCAAA
Long non-coding RNA from Pipra filicauda (Wire-tailed manakin), 2462 nucleotides. RefSeq lists it as uncharacterized. The transcript is spliced from 2 exons. The record is from RefSeq and is a predicted model, not a curated record. Lineage: Eukaryota; Metazoa; Chordata; Aves; Passeriformes; Pipridae.